Molecule: ribosomal RNA, 79 nt
Filed under: Paenibacillus sp. OK076
Lineage: Bacteria; Bacillati; Bacillota; Bacilli; Caryophanales; Paenibacillaceae
Description: partial 23S rRNA. Bacterial LSU
Source: RNAcentral
CGACGAGGUAGAUAGGCUGGGGGUGGAAGUGCAGCAAUGCAUGGAGCUGACCAGUACUAAUCGGUCGAGGGCUUAUCCA